CCCCCCCCCCCCUCUCUUGUUCAUUUGGUUCCACAUAUUUUGUGCGCAACCGGAGCCUGGUCUUGAUCUCCUGAUUGGGCGGCUGUAAUUCAAACCUUGACUCGGUAGUUGCGUACAACCCCCCCCCCCCAGCCUCUACACGCACAGGUCUGAGAUCAGCUGUGUGGCUGUGUGUGUUUAUCUUCACAGAGGUUCACAUAAGGAUCUGGGCUCAGCGUGAUGUGCAGAGGUGUCACGUGCUGAAGAACACGUGUUCUGAGAGCGCUGCGGUAUUUACCUGCUUCUAUGAUGAAUGAUGUCGUUGGAAGGCAAGCUGAGCUCCCUUGUAGGGAAUCCCAUAAUUCUGUUCAGCGCAUCUUCAUUCGCUAGUUACAGCCAGCCCUGCGUUCAGACCAGGACGUAACAAGCCGCCGGUGUCGCUUGUAGACGCGUCUCGUCCAUCCAGUGUCUUUUCUUUCUCUCUUUCUUUCUUUCUUUGAGAGAGAGACGAAGUCGGAAUGUAUUACUAGAGUAAACCUAGCAACUCUUUCACUUCCCUGACUCCUGGCUCUUGGCUCCCACAGUCAGGUCAGACUUCUUUCCUGCCUAAAGUCGGAGCUUGAUGUCUGAGCUGGCGCACGCCUUGUACAUCGUUCCUUUCAGUUCCAACCCCUGAAAAUUACCGUUACGCGAUUGCCACGGAGUCCGUACAGGAUUUCAGAGUUUUUUUUCUUGCUUGAUUUUGCUGCUACUUUUUUCAAAAAUUGCGAUGAUUUCUGUGUUAUUUAUUUAUUUAUUUAUUUUGUUGCUAAAAACUACUAGAAUCGGCGAAAUCGCACGCAAUAGUUUCGCACGCUCUUUCGCGGUGAUGUUUGUUGGUAAACGAGACUUUUUUUAUUUUAUUUUUAUUUUUUAGCUGUACUCGUUUUCGACAGACGUGAAUCGAAGAGGGCCGAACGCGUCUCGGCCCAAAUCUGCAAUCCUGUAAUAUUGAAAAAUCAUAAGCUCCGCCGAAUAUAUCGCAAAGUCGCGAUUUUCUGCAUGGACUGGCCGUGGUGGUGUAUCUAACUUUCUUUUUUUCUACCUGACCUCUCAUAUUUAAUGACGGGAUAAAAUGUAACUCAUAGGUUUGUUCGGAGUCCGUCCGCCAUUUUGUUUCCAGCUGAGAGGCUUCAGAAAACAUGGCGUCAUUCCCAGUGUGGGAACAUAGCGAGCAUCGAUGCUUCCUGGAUUUCGCGGUGCAUUGUUGGUUUUUUUUUUUUUUUUUAUUAGGACGUGAACGUUCCAGCGCACUGGAUGGAUUUCGCCAUUGAGGCAGCCCUCAAAAUGGCCGACUCGCCUAUAUCAGCGUCCUGACUACUGAACUAGUAGCUGACUGAGACACGCCGUUUCAUCGGUGGUUUAAACUCACCAGUACUUGAUUUUGUUUGGUUUUAAGGAAAGAGAGACUGUAGAAAAGAUGGAGGGAACGCUUCCUGGAGUGUUUUUAUUUGUAUAUAGAGAGAGAGAGAGAAUUUUUUUCCUACAGAAUCUGUACCAGAAGCUAGUUUUAAGGAUGAAAUCUGCUACAUGUCAGGAUUCAUCACUUCGUUGUUAUAAAAUUAAAUAGAAAUGGAGUGAAUUUUUUUUUUUCUUAUUCGGAAAGCCGUAGGAACCCUAACGCCGCUUCCAUAUAACGCCGCUUUCACACGUGUCCGGAUCAGAACGGCUUUGUCUCUGUGGGAGGGGCUUGCUCAUUUCCCCUUGUCAAUCACAGAGACACUAGCCAAUCUGAACUCCUCCUCUGAGCUCAUGUAUGCGGAAGAGGGCGGAUAGCGCGUUCAUCCGAGCGUGCGACGCUACCACGUGACCCAGCAGUCCGGAGAAAGCGCGGUUGUCGGAUUCGUACCCGCGAAACCCUUUCUUACAUCGGUUCCGUGGAAAAAGGUAAACCCUCGCCAUUGGAAUGCAAGAGGUUUCAAAAGGUAUACGUUCACGCCACGGCGUUUAAAGUAGACAAAAAUGCCCGGUCUCGUUUUAUGAUGACUCAUCGGACGCCCGCUGCAGUUGGACGAAUCGAUGAGGAGAUGGUUAUAUAAAUAUUUUUUUAUGCGGCCUUUGGGCAUUUACAGGUUUCCAAAAGAAAGCGUCUUUAGUUCGAGUGUUCCGAUCCUGGACGUUUUGAUUUGUCUGCGAUCGCUUUGUCCGUUCCCUCAAUCCUCAAGAUGUCCUACGCGGGAAGCGCGUCUCCGUACGCUUCGAACAACUCUGGGCAAGACGCAGAGACACGGCUCGGGUUCUCUCGCACAGACGGAAACAUCUGGAAGCACUCAGACGGUGGGUAGAGAGAGAGAGGAGAGAGAGAGGUGUAAACGUGUCUAGAAAGUAAAGCAGGAUCAGAUGUGCUGCAGCGCUCGCAUUCGUGCCAAAGAGACGAAAGGUCGCGAGUUUGAUCAUGUUUGCUCAACAAUUGUUGCCGCUCUCCGAGGUCUCGUUCUCACGAUCUUACUUUUUUUUUUUUUCUCUCCCCCCCCCCCCCCCCCUGUAUUUGUCUUCCUCGACGAUCCAAGAGACUUGUUUUAUUAGAAACAUCUCCGGGUUUCUGGGUCAAGGUUUGAAAUUCCGUGUCGUGGCUUCAGUACGUUACGUUAGAGUUAUCACGUUAUCGCCUCACGCCGAUCCACUUUCACGCCACAGAGCUGGCGGAUCCUGGAGUCUGAUUGGUCAGAACGGCAAGUUUUAUAUUCACGGUACGCGUUGUCGUUUCUAUGGUAACGGUGAGUCCAGGGCGACUCGUGCGACGGACGACGUUCUGUAAGGAACCGUUUACAGAAGGAGUCUCCGGCGUUAAAGCUGCAGCUGAGCGGUAUCCGAGACGGGAAAGCCUUUGAUCUUUGCGGGUCCUCGGUAACGAGUGAGGACAAGGAAACUCUGGGGGGGGUGGAACGACUGUUUGUUUAUACCUGCUGUGACGUUUUGCGGGCGUUCUGUAAUAUUUCCUGCGACCGUCGUUCUUUAAUAAAGCUAGUAAUGAUUGAGGGUUUGUGAGGUGAUACGACACUGUAAAACACUUCAGGACGCGCUGUUGUAGGAAAAUAAUCAUCGAUGGCGUGGGAACAGUGACUCUUCGCUUCAUCACACCUUGCUACGGUUAAUUCUUUUCCUUUAACACCGUGCCAGUGGUUUUUUUGUUUUUGUUUUGUUUAUUCCUUAUUUGUAGGGCUGCAACAAUUAAUCAAUAAUUAAAAUAAUUGACAGCGAAUGUCAUUAUGGAUUAGUCGGGACUGUGACGUCAUCGUGGAUAAACCCCGCCCCCGUCAGUGACGACACUGUGGACAAACCCCGCCCCCGUCAGGGACAUCACC
Long non-coding RNA from Ictalurus punctatus (channel catfish), 3323 nucleotides. Lineage: Eukaryota; Metazoa; Chordata; Actinopteri; Siluriformes; Ictaluridae. The record is from Ensembl.